RNAcentral lists this ribosomal RNA (497 nucleotides) under uncultured bacterium. Its description in RNAcentral is "partial 16S ribosomal RNA". It matches the Rfam family "Bacterial small subunit ribosomal RNA", at positions 28 to 507 of the family's 1533-position model. The record is from RNAcentral.
GAUGAACGCUGGCGGCGUGCCUAAUACAUGCAAGUCGAGCGAACAGACGAGGAGCUUGCUCCUCUGACGUUAGCGGCGGACGGGUGAGUAACACGUGGAUAACCUACCUAUAAGACUGGGAUAACUUCGGGAAACCGGAGCUAAUACCGGAUAAUAUAUUGAACCGCAUGGUUCAAUAGUGAAAGACGGUUUUGCUGUCACUUAUAGAUGGAUCCGCGCCGCAUUAGCUAGUUGGUAAGGUAACGGCUUACCAAGGCAACGAUGCGUAGCCGACGUGAGAGGGGGAUCGGCCACACUGGAACUGGGACACGGUCCAGACUCCUACGGGAGGCAGCAGUAGGGAAUCUGCCGCAAUGGGCGAAAGCCUGACGGAGCAACGCCGCGUGAGUGAUGAAGGUCUUCGGAUCGUAAAACUCUGUUAUUAGGGAAGAACAAAUGUGUAAGUAACUAUGCACGUCUUGACGGUACCUAAUCAGAAAGCCAUGGCUAACUACGUG